RNAcentral lists this ribosomal RNA (318 nucleotides) under Triticum aestivum (bread wheat). RNAcentral's name for it is "partial small subunit ribosomal RNA". Lineage: Eukaryota; Viridiplantae; Streptophyta; Magnoliopsida; Poales; Poaceae. The record is from RNAcentral.
AUGAUUAACCAACAUUCAUUUAACGGAAAGCGGACAGUUCUAACAUGCAAGGCGGAGCAGUGCGGAACCACAAGCAUAACUUUUUCUUUGACAGCAACAAAGCAUAACUUCUUAAUACAACUCCUUACCACCAAAUUAGUGAAAACAGAGAGAGAGAGAGAGAGAGAGAGAGAGAGAGAGAGAGAGAGAGAGAGAGAGAGAGAGAGAGAGAGAGAGAGAGAGAGAGAGAGGUCAAUUACAUACAUGCUUCAUCUCCCCUCUCGCAAAAUGGUCGCUGAAGACUCACCCGAUACAGUGGCGACACUCAUUGCGGGCUGA